UUGAUCCUGGCUCAGAACGAACGCUGGCGGCGCGCUCAUACAUGCAGUCGAGCGAGAAAGCCGCUUCGGUGGGUGAUUACAGCGGCGAACGGGUGCGUAACACGUGGGCAACCUGCCUUUAGGUCUGGGAUAAGCCGCCGAAAGGGGGUCUAAUACCGGAUAACACCUUUCUAUCGCAUGGUAGAAAGUUCAAAGACCGCUUGCGGUCGCCUGAAGAUGGGCCCGCGGCCUAUUAGCUAGUUGGUGAGAUAACAGCCCACCAAGGCUGCGAUGGGUAGCCGUCCUGAGAGGGUGAACGGCCACACUGGGACUGAGAUACGGCCCAGACUCCUACGGGAGGCAGCAGUAGGGAAUAUUGCGCAAUGCCCGAAAGGGUGACGCAGCGACGCCGCGUGGGUGAUGAAGCUUCUUGGAGCGUAAAGCCCUUUCAGAAGGGAAGAACCGCAUGGAGGUGAACCUCCGUGCCUGACGGUACCUUCAGAAGAAGCUCCGGCUAACUCCGUGCCAGCAGCCGCGGUAAUACGGAGGGAGCAAGCGUUGUUCGGAAUCACUGGGCGUAAAGGGCGCGUAGGCGGACCGGUGAGUCAGGUGUGAAAACCCGGGGCUUAACCCCGGGCCUGCACUUGAUACUAUCGGUCUUGAGUACGAGAGAGGAAAGCGGAAUUCCAGGUGUAGCGGUGAAAUGCGUAGAUAUCUGGGAGAACACCGGUGGCGAAGGCGGCUUUCUGGCUCGAUACUGACGCUGAUGCGCGAAGGCUAGGGGAGCAAACAGGAUUAGAUACCCUGGUAGUCCUAGCGGUAAACGAUGGGCACUAGGUGUCGGAGGACUUACCCCUUCAGUGCCGCAGCUAACGCAUUAAGUGCCCCGCACUGGGGAGUACGAUCGCAAGAUUGAAACUCAAAGGAAUUGACGGGGCCCCGCACAAGCAGUGGAGUAUGUGGUUUAAUUCGAUGCAACGCGAAGAACCUUACCUGGGCUUGACAUCAACUGGAAAGCCAUAGAGAUAUGCCCCCUCUUCGGA
Molecule: ribosomal RNA, 1022 nt
Filed under: uncultured organism
Description: bacterial SSU rRNA
Rfam family: Bacterial small subunit ribosomal RNA
Source: RNAcentral